RNAcentral lists this ribosomal RNA (520 nucleotides) under uncultured Scutellospora. RNAcentral's name for it is "SSU rRNA". It matches the Rfam family "Eukaryotic small subunit ribosomal RNA", at positions 569 to 1092 of the family's 1831-position model. The record is from RNAcentral. Lineage: Eukaryota; Fungi; Glomeromycota; Glomeromycetes; Diversisporales; Gigasporaceae.
AGCAGCCGCGGUAAUUCCAGCUCCAAUAGCGUAUAUUAAAGUUGUUGCAGUUAAAAAGCUCGUAGUUGAAUUUCGGGGUUCUACCGUUGGUCGGGCUAACCAGUCUGUACUAGCGUGUAGAAUUCCUACCUUCUGGGGAACCAUCAUGUUAUUAAUUUAGCGUGGUGGGAAACCAGGACCUUUACCUUGAAAAAAUUAGAGUGUUCAAAGCAGGUUUACGUCUGAAUACAUUAGCAUGGAAUAAUAAAAUAGGACGGUGGUCCUGUUUUGUUGGUUUCUGAAUCACCGUAAUGAUUAAUAGGGAUAGUUGGGGGCAUUAGUAUUCAAUUGUCAGAGGUGAAAUUCUUGGAUUUAUUGAAGACUAACUUCUGCGAAAGCAUUUGCCAAGGAUGUUUUCAUUAAUCAAGAACGAAAGUUAGGGGAUCGAAGACGAUCAGAUACCGUCGUAGUCUUAACCAUAAACUAUGCCGACUAGGGAUCGGACGAUGUUAAAUUUUAUUGACUCGUUCGGCGUCUUACG